This 325-nucleotide unclassified non-coding RNA is filed under the name uncultured Alphaproteobacteria bacterium. RNAcentral describes it as "contains 16S-23S intergenic spacer region". The record is from RNAcentral. Lineage: Bacteria; Pseudomonadati; Pseudomonadota; Alphaproteobacteria.
UCGCGGCUUAUCACCGGCAGUCCCCUUAGAGUGCCCAACUUAAUGAUGGCAACUAAGGGCGAGGGUUGCGCUCGUUGCGGGACUUAACCCAACAUCUCACGACACGAGCUGACGACAGCCAUGCAGCACCUGUCUCCGGUCCAGCCUAACUGAAGGGAUCCAUCUCUGGUUCCCGCGACCGGGAUGUCAAGGGCUGGUAAGGUUCUUCGCGUUGCUUCGAAUUGAACCACAUGCUCCACCGCUUGUGCGGGCCCCCGUCAAUUCCUUUGAGUUUCAACCUUGCGGUCGUACUUCCCAGGUGGGGAUGACGUCAUGGAAGCAAGCU